This 81-nucleotide small nuclear RNA is filed under the name Panthera leo (lion). Its description in RNAcentral is "U2 spliceosomal RNA (ENSPLOG00000019252.1)". It matches the Rfam family "U2 spliceosomal RNA", at positions 1 to 60 of the family's 192-position model. From Rfam's summary of the family: U2 is a small nuclear RNA (snRNA) component of the spliceosome (involved in pre-mRNA splicing). Complementary binding between U2 snRNA (in an area lying towards the 5' end but 3' to hairpin I) and the branchpoint sequence (BPS) of the intron results the bulging out of an unpaired adenosine, on the BPS, which initiates a nucleophilic attack at the intronic 5' splice site, thus starting the first of two transesterification reactions that mediate splicing. Lineage: Eukaryota; Metazoa; Chordata; Mammalia; Carnivora; Felidae. The record is from Rfam by way of RNAcentral.
AUCGCUUCUUGGCCUUUUGGCUAAGAUCAAGUGUAGUAUCUGUUCUUAUCAAAGUCCCACAGCCAGUUAGUUCCACUCCUC